Molecule: RNA transcript, 3240 nt
Organism: Bubalus bubalis (water buffalo)
Lineage: Eukaryota; Metazoa; Chordata; Mammalia; Artiodactyla; Bovidae
Gene: HFE
Gene name: homeostatic iron regulator
Exons: 6
Source: RefSeq, a predicted model, not a curated record
UUUUCAGCAGCAGUCCCGGAAAAGGAUCCCACUGGCCAGGAAGUUUCAUCUGGGAUCCCCAGAGCCUCGGCAAUGGCUCCAGGGUGACUUCUUGGAUCAUCCCCGUUUCCCCGCCCUACCCAAGCGGCUGAAAAGCGCCGGGACGCGCGGUCCGAGCCGGGAAAAUGGGCCCGCGAGCCCGGCCGGCGCUUCUCCUCUUGAUCCUCCUGCGGACUGCGGCCACGCAGGGGCGACCGCCGCGGUCACACUCCCUGCACUUCCUCUUCAUGGGCGCCUCCAAGCCAGACCUCGGGCUGCCCCUGUUUGAGGCUUUGGGCUACGUGGAUGACCAGCUGUUCGUGUCCUAUGAUCAUGAGAGUCGCCGUGCAGAGCGGCGCGCCCCAUGGCUCUGGAGCAGGGCCACCAGCCAGCUGUGGCUUCAGCUGAGUCAGAAUCUGAAAGGCUGGGACCACAUGUUCAUCGUGGACUUCUGGACAAUCAUGGACAACCACAACCAGAGCAAGGUAACGAAGCUGGGGGCGAUGCCAGAGUCCCACACCCUGCAGGUGAUCCUGGGCUGUGAGUUGCAAGAGGACAACAGCACCAGAGGGUUCUGGAAGUACGGGUACGAUGGGCAGGACCAUCUUGAAUUCCGGCCUGAGACACUGGAUUGGAGAGCAGCAGAGCCCGGGGCCCAGGUCACCAAGCUGGAGUGGGAAGUGAACAAGAUUCGGGCCAAACAGAACAGGGCCUACCUGGAUCGGGAUUGCCCCGAGCAGCUGCUGCAUUUGCUGGAGCUGGGGAGAGGGCCUCUGGAGCAGCAAGUGCCUCCUUUGGUGAAAGUGACUCAUCACGUGACCUCUUCACUGACCACUCUUCGGUGUCGGGCUCUGAACUUCUACCCCCAGAACAUCACCAUUAGGUGGCUGAAGGACAAGCAGUUCCUGGAUGCCAAGGACGUUAAGCCAGAGGAUGUGUUGCCCAAUGGGGACGGGACCUACCAGGCCUGGGUGGCCUUGGCCAUGCUCCCUGGGGAAGAGCAGAGAUACAGCUGCCAAGUGGAGCACCCAGGCCUGGAUCAGCCCCUCACUGCCACCUGGGAGCCCUCACUGUCUGGUACCCUGGUCACUGGAAUCCUCAGUGGGAUUGCUGUUUGCGUCAUCAUCUUCCUUAUUGGAAUUUUGUUCAGAAUCUUAAAGAGACGGCAGUCUUCGAGUGAGUAGGAAGAAGGAGGAAGCCUCUUAGCACCAUGGCGCCCAGGACACUCUCAUCUUCCUGCAGAAAGUGUGGCAGGAGGAGCCGCUGUCAACUAUGCCUUAGCCGAAUGUGAAUGAAGGGCAGCCUGCAGACCCUUGUGGGGCGGAGACAGAACUCAAGACUCAGGGAACACGUGGCCUUAUGGCAUUCUUCAUGCUCAGGACAAUUGGAGCUAAGAAAUGGGAACCGUCUCAGGAACUAUCUGCUCUUAGCCUUCCUUAUUCACUCUUGAAAAGUUCACCAUCUAGGUUUCUGAGUUCCUGCUUGUUAAAGGGCCCCAGCUGUGACUUCUGCCCCAGAAGCGGCUUUCCUGAAUCCCAGGCUACAUUUAGAACCUACAUUGAUUUCCUGCAUCACCUCAGACUUCAUACACCUACAUCAUCUCAUCUCCUAACUGUGGAACGAGGUUCCUUAAAUCUGGGGGUGGGGGUAGGGGGAGAGGGUUGCUCGUGAUUCCUUUAAACCUCUGAGAAUAGCUUUGAACCUUCUCCUUAGGUCAUACACUCUAAUGCCUCUAUCAGAAUUUGACACACACAUCCAGGCAAUUCCUAGACCCAUUCAAGUUUCCUUUUAACCCUUCCUCUGUUAUUGAGAACUCACCUGUCACCAAGCCCUGUGGUCUCUUCCAUCAGAAGGAGAUCUGGACUGUUGUACAGCCGUGAAGGCUGUGCAUCGCACAACCCGAGCAGACACCUUUUGCAGAAGAGGCAUCCUUUCCUGGAUGUUUGUGCCUAUUAGGAUAGUCUUCUCUAAAAUGGGUGGGAAGUGUCUUGGGGAAGGAUAUCUUUUUUAAAUUUGAGCAAAGGUGCCAUGUGGGAUUCCUUAGAUUAAUGACACCUGCACUUUUGCAGUACCUCUUCUGUAUGCCAGACUUGAAGUAGCACAGGAUUUGAUCUCUGCUCACACCAUCUCCUUGUUCUGAUAAUGAAAAUGAUAAUUAAGAUGAUGAUGAUAAGGAUAAGGUGGCUGACAUUUUAAAAGCUCUUACGUGGUGCCAGACUUAGUUCUCUGAGUGCCCAUUUACAUGUAUUAUCUCGUAUAGUUCUUACAAUAGUUCUUUGACAUCAGUACUAUUAUCCCCCCUCUUUUUUUUUAAAGAUGAAGAAAGUGAAGUUUAAUAUAGAGUAUCUCACAGCUUGCCAGGGACAGAGAUAGGUGUCAAACUCAGUCAGGCUGGCUCUUUGAUCCAGCUCCUUGCUCCUGCAUUCAGAUGAUCAGAUACUUGGACUAAGUGGGGAAAGAAGGAGAUGGCUGUGGAGAUGGCUCUUCUCUUGUCUCAUUGUCUGUAUACUCAGUGACUUUGAUUCAAGUGAAGGGAAAAACAUCAAAAAACAUCUCGGCCAUGUUUCCUUUCAAAGUUCCUGAGGGAAGAACCCUGGAAUGUGACCUCUAACUUCUCCAUUGCCACACUGGCCAGUUCUGUCUGGCAGCACUCAUGGGAUUGAGAUUGGGAGGGUUGGUUGGUUACUGUGUUGGACCUCACAGAGUCCUGCUCCAAUCAGGGCCACUAGGGUGUAGGCAUUUCCCUCCAUAAACUGGAGCAACUCCUCUCAUAUUAAAGCUGGAAAAAUAGAAAUAUAUAUAUAUACACAUAUAUAUGUGUAUAUAUACACACACACACCAAAUAACUCAUGUUUAUUUCAUGCUGCUAUGUACAACUGGUGGCAUAACUAUGUUCAAGGCUCUGUCUUGGAGAUCAGAGGGCAGGUGCCUCAGACCAAAUACAGCACAGAAGUUUGUUUGGUAAGUACUAAAUUUGGGCACAAAUAUCUCAACUAUUUUAAACUUUUCUUUUUUUCUGGUUAUGAAAGUUAAGUGGAUAAAAGUACAUAGAAUUUGUGCUUACUACAGAAAAGUUUAAAAUGAGUUGAAUUGAAACUUUCCUUCCAUUAGCCAAAGCUAACUCUAUUAACAGUUUGUGUAUUUCUUCUCAGUAUUGUUGCUAUAUUAAAAUACAUAAAAUUAUCAAAUGCAUAGAUUUUAAUAAAUACAUAAUUAAUUGUA